Molecule: ribosomal RNA, 498 nt
Filed under: Tatumella punctata
Lineage: Bacteria; Pseudomonadati; Pseudomonadota; Gammaproteobacteria; Enterobacterales; Erwiniaceae
Description: bacterial SSU rRNA
Rfam family: Bacterial small subunit ribosomal RNA
Source: RNAcentral
GGAGGAAUACCGGUGGCGAAGGCGGCCCCCUGGACAAAGACGACUGCUCAGGUGCGAAAGCGUGGGGAGCAAACGGGAUUAGAUACCCUGGUAGUCCACGCCGUAAACGAUGUCGACUUGGAGGCUGUGCCCUUGAGGCGUGGCUUCCGGAGCUAACGCGUUAAGUCCAGUGUCUGGGGACUAUGGCCGCAAGGUUAAAACUCAAACGAAUUGACGGGGGCCCGCACAAGCGGUGGAGCAUGUGGUCUAAUUCGAUGCAACGCGAAGAACCCUUCCUACUCUUGACAUCCAGAGAACUUGGCAUAGAUGCUUUUGUGCCUUUGGGAAAUUUGAGACAGGUAGGGCAUUGACGUUGUCAACUUGUUUUGUGAAAUGUUGGGUUAAGUCCCGCAACGAGCGCAACCCCUAUCCUUUGUUGCCAGCGAUUCGGUCGGGAACUAAAAGGAGUCUGCCGGUGAUAAACCGGAGGAAGGUGGGGACGACGUCCAGUCAUCAUGG